GGAAACUUGUGUUCAACUGUACAUAGUGUUAACUGGCAGUCAGCAAAGCGCCCUUUCCUUGAAGGGAGUGAUCAAAUUUCUGUAAUAUUCUGAAAUCGUUGCCGCUGAGAGUUGAGUUGCUGAACUCGUGACAACUGGCUACAGAAAUUGACCUUCGUGAAGUUCCUGACGGUUAGUGGUAACAGACGUAGACAGAUGAACUUGUAAAGAAGUAAUGUAACCAGACAGAAGCAAGUUGGCUCUACCCUCGUCAGUGAAAUACAGCAACCUUCAACAUCAUGGCAAGACAAGGCCAAGUCCAAAGACAUUCAUUUCCAUGAUAGUACGUACUCCUAUUUCUGAUUGAGUCACAAAGUUUAUUGAAUGUUUUCUAAACACCAUCCACUAGAUUUUGUUAAGGAAGCCACCAGGCUAGGUACUGACCUAGCACCCUAGGUCAAGUUAGGUGUGGUUAGGUCUGGUUGCAACCUUACUUAAUUUACAGUGCUGAAAUUAGAUUAGGUGAGAGUUAAAUGCCCCUGGCCAGAAAAGAAUCCAGCAGUCUAGGUUAGGGAACUUAAAUCCCUGUAUUUCACUAGCUUCUUUCUCCUCCCAAAAAAUCCCAAUGUCCCACUAUGGCCAUCAUUAAUUGUAGUUAUAUCAUGGCAGUCAGUACUUCCACAUGCCACGAGUCGCAGAAUGUCCAUUUCCAGUGUCAAUGCAGAUUGUUCCCUUGUUACUGAUAUUCAAACUUGACCAAUUCAACCUUUUUAAUAAAAAAAAAAAAAAGGCAACAUUUUUAUUUCAGAUCCACAUCACACAAGUUACUUGUCACCAUUUCAAACUCAAAGCCGCAACAUGAUUAACUAUACUGUGUUU
Long non-coding RNA from Macrobrachium nipponense, 858 nucleotides. RefSeq lists it as uncharacterized. The transcript is spliced from 3 exons. NCBI's taxonomy places the organism in Eukaryota, Metazoa, Arthropoda, Malacostraca, Decapoda, Palaemonidae. The record is from RefSeq and is a predicted model, not a curated record.